Long non-coding RNA from Micropterus salmoides (largemouth bass), 1309 nucleotides. RefSeq lists it as uncharacterized. The transcript is spliced from 2 exons. NCBI's taxonomy places the organism in Eukaryota, Metazoa, Chordata, Actinopteri, Centrarchiformes, Centrarchidae. The record is from RefSeq and is a predicted model, not a curated record.
UGCCAUCUUGUGUGUGUGUGUGUGCGUAUUCCGUGCGCUGCCCUGGUCCGUCUUCAUUUAGUGUCUAGUGUCCCUGCCAGCUCACUUGCAUGUUUGUUUGCUGUGUAUUUUGUAUCUUUGAUCUUGCCUGUCUACCAUCCCUGGAUUGCUUUCUUUUGUUUAUGUACUUGGAAUAAUUACCUGUGCACUGUUGGAUGUAUUUCAUUUCUGUUCUGGACUUGCCACUUGGAUUGUUGGACAUGUGAACCUACCACCUCACUGUAAGAUUGUACCUUUGUGUUUCUUUCAAUUAAAUUAAGAAAACGAACUUGCUCUACCUAAUGUUUCUGCAUCUGGGUCCAAAUCCCUGUUUUUCCCGUGUCUGCACACAUGACAGUGAGGACUGACCAUGAUGGACCCAGCAGACUAUCAGUCUGCUUCAGCUGGCCAGCGCUCCAGAAACUGUGCUAGCCAGAUUCCCAGAAACAUUGAUGGCCAGCUCCACAGAGACUCAGGUGACCAGCGCCUCAGAGAUUAUGCUAUUCAGCCUCCCAGAGACUAAACUGGCCAUCUGAACAGCUUCACAGUAAUUCAGUUGCCCUGUGUUCCAGAGAGUCAGCUGAUCUGCUCUUCAGAGACUUCUCCAUCCAGCUUCACAUAGACUCAGCUGAUUAGCAAGCGAGAGACUCAGUUGCUCUGUUCCACUGGAUUGCCACCAGUUUCGUCUGGUUCUCAGACACCUGCUGGGCUGCAGCAACACCCUGACUUUGUUGAGCUACUGCUACUUCCUGUCUCUACUGAGUUUAAGCAACCCCACGUCCCUGAGCGAGAACUGCAGCCAUGCCUACUCCCUCCUGCCUAACUCCCUGUUGUAGCCAAUCUCCAAUCCUGUUGCCCUGUCGCCGGCCUUCAGCUCUGACUCCAGAUACCAGCUAACCAGCCCAGCUGCUCUGUCACUGGCCUCCAGUCCAGCAAUCCUGCCUCCUGGCUGCCCUCCCUCUUGUUCUGUUCUGUUCUUUGACUCAGACUCCUGGUCCUGGUUUUCAGUCACGUUGCCGGCCUGGGAGCCAUUCCUUGAUGGGGGCAAGUAAAAAUAAGAAAACUGAACUUGCUGGCUUGGUGUUCCUGCGUCUGGGUCCAAAUCCCUGUUUUUCCCCUGUCUGCCCUCUAGUAAUUCCAAAAAUGUCAAACAAUUCCUUUACAAAAAUACAAGUGGAUGGUUCCCAGCUACAAAUAAAAAAGAAGAGACAGAAUUUGAUUAAAGUUUAAUUUUCAGUGACAAAAUCAAAAAUAACAGUAUUCAAAGGAAGUAAAGUCUUCAACAACCCUG